Molecule: ribosomal RNA, 381 nt
Filed under: uncultured bacterium
Lineage: Bacteria
Description: bacterial SSU rRNA
Rfam family: Bacterial small subunit ribosomal RNA
Source: RNAcentral
AACGAACGCUGGCGGCAUGCCUAACACAUGCAAGUCGAACGGGAUCCUGGCUUCGGUCAGGUGAGAGUGGCGGACGGGUGAGUAACGCGUGGGAACCUGCCCAGUGGUGGGGGAUAACUGCGGGAAACUGCAGCUAAUACCGCAUGAGCCCGAGAGGGGAAAGAUUUAUCGCCAUUGGAGGGGCCCGCGUUCGAUUAGGUAGUUGGUGAGGUAACGGCUCACCAAGCCGACGAUCGAUAGCUGGUCUGAGAGGAUGAUCAGCCACACUGGGACUGGGACACGGCCCAGACUCCUACGGGAGGCAGCAGUGGGGAAUAUUGCGCAAUGGGCGAAAGCCUGACGCAGCGACGCCGCGUGGGUGAUGAAGGCCUCGGUCGUAAG